RNAcentral lists this long non-coding RNA (200 nucleotides) under Panax ginseng (ginseng). RNAcentral describes it as "long non-coding RNA (PGIN_LNC001493)". Lineage: Eukaryota; Viridiplantae; Streptophyta; Magnoliopsida; Apiales; Araliaceae. The record is from RNAcentral.
UUUCUUCAUCUUCUUCUUCUGACUUUGUCUCAUGCUCUUUCUCUAUCGUUAUAUGUCUGUCAGUCCGUCCAAUAUUUCUUAUCUUGACCUUAGUUGUCCGUACAACGGUGUUCAACUAAAAGAAGUAGAUAUUUCAUUUUAGUUUUUAUAAAGAAACCACCCUCCAUUCUCUUGGUUUAGGCCUUCAUUUUUUAUAGGAU